RNAcentral lists this long non-coding RNA (1222 nucleotides) under Nicotiana tabacum (common tobacco). Its description in RNAcentral is "long non-coding RNA (NTAB_LNC006260)". The record is from RNAcentral. Lineage: Eukaryota; Viridiplantae; Streptophyta; Magnoliopsida; Solanales; Solanaceae.
AGAGUUUUUGCUAGUCCGAGUGGAAAUAAUUAUUUGUUGACUACCCAUUUUCCCUUUUUACUUGAGAAAAAGAUUGAGAGGGGGGAGGCAGAGCAGCAUCAUGAGUCAUCUGGAGAAUGCAAAGAGUACUUUUGAUCUUUGGACUGAAGAGUUAGAACGUUGGCCUUCCUUGAUAACAAAAUUUUCAAGGGGAGGGGGGAUUAAUGGAUGACUAUGAACCGUUAUGGACAAUCUUAAGCAAAUCCGAUCUUGGGUUUCAUGAAAAGGAGAUUCCCAAGGGUUGACCAGUUUUGGUUGUUUUGAAAUCUAAAAGAUGGACUGAUGAGCAUCCUUAUUGCCUUUUUAGAGACCUAAAGUUGUCUACUUUAACAUAUUGAAUGAUUAUGAGACAGUUCUAAGUUUAAUGAAUGGGGACAGCUUUAUAUCGGUCAUGUAUGCAUGACAUUUAUUCCAUGCCAUUAUAUGAUACCUCUACUGUGAAGCCAAGGGUGGGCACAACUUAGCAAUGGAUACUUAAAUCUGGAGAUUGCUUGGAACAUCUUUGUGCAUAUGCACUUUGUAAGAGCGAUGUUUGAAGUCUUGAUAUUGAUUCGCUUACACCAAUUUAAUUGUUUUGUUUCUCUCGUUUUUCUCUUGGUGCAGUCAUAUACUUAAGUUUCUGGGCAGAGGUGCACUACAACUCAAUCUAUCCUCAAGGAGGUAGUUGCUUGUACAUUUAUCUCCUGUUCCUGUUUAUUUUGUCUUAGCAUUGAGAGUUGAGUGGGAGUUUGCUGAUCUUGCUUAGUUUAGAAUUCCAUUCUAUUAUCAUAUUAUUCUAAUACUGUAGUUUGAUGCUCCAUUCUAGACUUCCUGCCAUUUGAUCUUAAGAAGAAGAAGAAGAAGUGGAGUUUCUGGAACAAGCAUUAAGAGUUCUGGACCUAUUCAAAGGCAAACACUUAAAUACAACGUCAUCAUUCUGGCUUUGAUACACAGCUUCUGGUGCAAGACUUACAUUUCAUUCUUUUCUUCUUUGAUAAACAAUACUUACUUUUCAUUCAUAUAAUAAUUGUUCACAUAAUUAUUACAGUAUAGCAUAGUCAAUAGUUUUAUCAGUUGCAUAAUAAGAUCAUAUUGUUGUAUAGACAUCUUGUUUUUCUUAAAACAUUGUGCUCCACAUGCACAUCUCUCCAAUUAGUACAAUGGUCUACACAAAAUCUCAUAUACUUUGUUAUACUGGGUUUUA